CGCGGCCCCGGGAAACCGGGGCCGCGGCCCUUAACCCGACCGCCCCACGGUGGGGCGCUGGUGACAAGUCCAGCAACGGGGAGUCAAGGG
Molecule: non-coding RNA, 90 nt
Filed under: Gemmata obscuriglobus UQM 2246
Lineage: Bacteria; Pseudomonadati; Planctomycetota; Planctomycetia; Gemmatales; Gemmataceae
Source: RNAcentral